CCUACGGGACGCAGCAGUGAGGAAUAUUGGUCAAUGGGCUAAGGCCUGAACCAGCCAAGUCGCGUGAGGGAAGACGGUCCUAUGGAUUGUAAACCUCUUUUGUCGGGGAGCAACGAGACCACGUGUGGCCGAAGUGAGAGUACCCGAAGAAAAAGCAUCGGCUAACUCCGUGCCAGCAGCCGCGGUAAUACGGAGGAUGCGAGCGUUAUCCGGAUUUAUUGGGUUUAAAGGGUGCGCAGGCGGAUUUUUAAGUCAGCGGUCAAAUCGUGGGGCUCAACCUCAUCCAGCCGUUGAAACUGGGGAUC
This 305-nucleotide ribosomal RNA is filed under the name uncultured bacterium. RNAcentral's name for it is "bacterial SSU rRNA". It matches the Rfam family "Bacterial small subunit ribosomal RNA", at positions 338 to 641 of the family's 1533-position model. The record is from RNAcentral.